UUCAAGUGUUAAUGCGCUGAGAAUAAUCUGUCGCCUCCUCAUAAGCCUAGCCUAGGCCGCUAGGCGUGUGGUUUGGGAACAUAGCUAAUGCCUGUAGGAUGUGUUGAUGCCAUGGGUAUUUGUUCUUGGGAAUUAAAUACGCAGGAAUCGCAAUGUUGGAAGGGAUAUCAUUUUAAUGUACAGAUUUGUUCCUUAUUUGUAUUCAUUGAGCAUUCUUUUUGGUAGAAAAAUGAUCUAAAGUUAUUCUCAACUUCUUAUAAUAGAGGUUGGAAUCUAAGAUCACUGUACGUCCGUAACAGAAGGUGUGUUUCUACCCAGUUUGGGAUUGUCAUCCGCGGUUAUAUAUGUCCGGUUCUAAUACGGGGAUUUCAUUUCCUUCUCAUCCAUCCUCGAGAUUCAUGCAAAUCCAGGCAUAUGAAAAUCUAUGAAACUGGAAAAUUAUGCGAAAAUUAUACUACUAUUAUCAAAAUUCUAUAAUUUGAAGCACAAUCUAAAACUACGAUCCAAAUUCUAUAUCCAGAGCCAUGGUAAACACGCCUUUAAUCGGCUACACGACAGAAUGAUUAAAACGUGUAGUUUGAGUUCGUUAACUCAUCAUUACAAAAACUAUUCCUGAAGCUGAUUGCUUGAAAACUAAAAUGGAGCUCCCCUCCCUUUGAACCCUGCAAUGUUGCAUCCAAAUUCCCUUUGGCGGCACCAUUUGAUCAUAGUAAUACUCUCCUUGUCGUUGCCUCUCUGCUUCACAUCUCGCAUAGCUUAUUUACAUUGAUCAUAAUUAAGAAUGUAAGAAUGGAGAAACAUUAGGGAGUAAGCUGAAUUCAUUUCUCAAAAGAACCCAUUUUUCGAAGGGUGGGGAGAGGAAAUUCCAGCUUGGAAGCCUUACUUGUGUCCAGCUUAAGAGCGGACAUGAGCAAGGCUUUUUGACUACAUCAAGCGAAAAUGGCUGAUUUGGAAACCCAAAAUUUCACCGACUUUCUUUCUUCCCUGCAUGAUUUCGCGUAUGACUUUCUUUAUAAAUAGAGAGAGAUGGAGUAGUAUCAUUCUUGAAGACUGGAGAGAGACCAACGGGUGCUAGUUUGGCGGCGAUUGAAGAAGUGAUACAGAGAUCCAGCUGAUGCCAGAAGAUGUGUUGAUGGAGAUCCUGUCGAGGGUUCCUGUGAAAUCCCUCCUCCGAUUCAAAUCAGUCUCCAAACACUGGUACUCUCUCAUCCAUAACCCUAUCUUCAUCUCCCUCCACCGCAACCGCGCCCAAAGCAACGACUGCGUCGUCGACGCCCAACAAUUAGUCUUAAGGGGGAAGGUCUUAGACGACGCCGUGUUUUCCAUGUACUUGGUGCCACCCGACGCCGUGUUUUCCAUAACAACGACGACGACGUCGUCAAGGGGGCUGUCUUCCUCUUGGGUUGUCACAACGUCCUCAUGUGUCUCGCCCAUGACUUAACCUCCUCCAUCGUCAUAUUCAACCCGGCUACGAGAGAAUCCAGGCUACUCCCUCAACCCCUUUACGAAUCAAAGCAUAGGAGCUAUUUGGGGUUUAGCUUUGAUCCCAGGGCUAAUGAAUACGAGGUUGUUAGAUUCUGCUCAAGCUUUGCGUUUAUGCCGUUUGUUGCGUUCGAUCAGCAUCACCCUUCUCACCACACAUCGUUUAAGUAUAACACCUACCGCGGCGAUCAGAAAGUUCAGAUCUACCAUCUGAGUACCGAUUCCUGGGGAGAAACCGACGCGGCCGUGCCCAAAGAUUUCCCUGACUGCCCGGAAUGUGGUUGUUGCACGUCAUUUGAUGGAGUUUUCUACUGGGUUGGUCUGGGUUGGUCUUGAUCGCGGUACUGGUGUUUCGGUAGUUAGUGCGUUCCGCAUGUUUGAAGAGCUGUUCGAACGAGAACCCUUGCCCGACUGCAUUUGCUCCCGAUGUAUGACUCAGCUUCGCGUUCUGCAUGAUUCCCUUGCCCUUGUUUUGUCUAAGUGGGACUUCCCAGGGAUGGAUGCAACCGUCCACAUAUGGUUAAUGAAUGAAUGCGGAGUUGACAAGUGUUGGACUAAAAGAUACAGUAUUGGACCCCUCUCAGAAUAUCACAGCGUGUUGGGAUCUCGGCCAAAUGUCGAGGUUCUUUUGCGUUGCUGCAAUAGCGGGAUAGUGUCAUACAACCUUAGUACUCAUGAGAUAAAAGAGUAUGCUCAUCAGUUAUGCAAGGGGCUGGAAUCGUGUGUAGAAGCAAUGCAAGUUUUUCAAUAUGCAUAUAGCUUGAUUUCAGUUAAGAGACGAGUUGAUUAGGGUAAAUUAGGUUGGAACUACAAUUACUCAUGCCUAAUCAAGAAGGGGGAGGUGAUAAGUGGUAUGCAUGGAAGUUUACUUGGAAGUCUUCUACUCAAGCACCUGUGAAAUAUAGGGCAAUUUAUUUAGGUUGCCAAUUCGUCGAGAAGAUUGAAGGGUUGGAUUUUCAUGGAUUUGACAAUGCACAUAUAUCCAUUUUCCUUUUUUCUCGUAUUUCAUUGGGUUUUCUUCCUAUAGGCUAUAGUACUUGACUGUGGCUUCAUUGCUGAAUUGGAUCAUUGGUUCCAACUUAGAUUGAGAAGGAAGCACAUUUGGUUAAAGUUUGAGGCAUAAGAUUUGCUACUCUCAAUAUAUUUUGUUAUUUUGCUAUUGCUCUAUUUGGUUGUGAUUAUUAUCAUGUGGAGAGUUGCACUAUCCGUCCUCCCAUCAUGGCUUCUUUUUAUACAACGGUGCCUUAAACUACAAAGUAGUGUGGCCUGGUUGUUGGCUACCCUUUGCUUCGUAUGGUUUUUGAGAGAACCAAACAAUAGGACAUUUGAUGGAGUGGUGGAGAUGGUUUGUAUUGUGAAGAGUUCCUUUCCCUCUAUUGUUCAUCAUUUGCAUGUUGCUUGUUUCAGUUUGUUGAUUUUGUGGAUUAUGAGCAUGUAUCUUUUGGCA
This is a long non-coding RNA of Rhododendron vialii, 2929 nucleotides long. RefSeq lists it as uncharacterized. The transcript has 2 exons. The record is from RefSeq and is a predicted model, not a curated record. Lineage: Eukaryota; Viridiplantae; Streptophyta; Magnoliopsida; Ericales; Ericaceae.